UACGGGGGGGGCAAGCGUUGUUCGGAAUUACUGGGCGUAAAGGGCUCGUAGGUGGCCAACUAAGUCAGACGUGAAAUCCCUCGGCUUAACCGGGGAACUGCGUCUGAUACUGGAUGGCUUGAGUUUGGGAGAGGGAUGCGGAAUUCCAGGUGUAGCGGUGAAAUGCAUAGAUAUCUGGAGGAACACCGGUGGCGAAGGCGGCACCCUGGACCAACACUGACACUGAGGAGCGAAAGCCAGGGGAGCAAACGGG
Molecule: ribosomal RNA, 253 nt
Filed under: uncultured bacterium
Lineage: Bacteria
Description: partial 16S ribosomal RNA
Rfam family: Bacterial small subunit ribosomal RNA
Source: RNAcentral